RNAcentral lists this ribosomal RNA (458 nucleotides) under uncultured bacterium. RNAcentral describes it as "partial 16S ribosomal RNA". It matches the Rfam family "Bacterial small subunit ribosomal RNA", at positions 338 to 795 of the family's 1533-position model. The record is from RNAcentral.
CCUACGGGAGGCAGCAGUGGGGAAUAUUGGUCAAUGGGCGAGAGCCUGAACCAGCCAAGUCGCGUGAGGGAGUACUGCCCUAUGGGUUGUAAACCUCUUUUGUCGGGGAGCAAAAGCCGGACGUGGCCGGCUGUGAGAGUACCCGAAGAAAAAGCAUCGGCUAAAUCCGUGCCAGCAGCCGCGGUAAUACGGAGGAUGCGAGCGUUAUCCGGAUUUAUUGGGGUUAAAGGGUGCGCAGGCGGAUUUUUAAGUCAGCGGUCAAAUCGUGGGGCUCAACCCCAUCCAGCCGUUGAAACUGGAGAUCUAGAGUGUGCGAGAGGUAUGCGGAAUGCGUGGUGUAGCGGUGAAAUGCAUAGAUAUCACGCAGAACCCCGAUUGCGAAGGCAGCAUACCGGUGCACAACUGACGCUCAGGCACGAAAGCGUGGGUAUCGAACAGGAUUAGAUACCCUUGUAGUC